Molecule: ribosomal RNA, 223 nt
Filed under: uncultured prokaryote
Description: partial 16S ribosomal RNA
Rfam family: Bacterial small subunit ribosomal RNA
Source: RNAcentral
ACGUAGGGUGCGAGCGUUAAUCGGAAUUACUGGGCGUAAAGCGUGCGCAGGCGGUUCGCUAAGACAGGUGUGAAAUCCCCGGGCUUAACCUGGGAAUGGCGCUGGAGACUGGCGGGCUGGAAUACGGCAGAGGGGAGUGGAAUUCCACGUGUAGGAGUGAAAUGCGUAGAGAUGAGGAGGAACACCGAUGGCGAAGGCAGCUACCUGGGCCGAUACUGACGCU